UGACCGCUGGCGGCAGGCCUAACACAUGCAAGUCGAGCGGUAGAGAGAAGCUUGCUUCUCUUGAGAGCGGCGGACGGGUGAGUAAUGCCUAGGAAUCUGCCUGGUAGUGGGGGAUAACGUUCGGAAACGGACGCUAAUACCGCAUACGUCCUACGGGAGAAAGCAGGGGACCUUCGGGCCUUGCGCUAUCAGAUGAGCCUAGGUCGGAUUAGCUAGUUGGUGGGGUAAUGGCUCACCAAGGCGACGAUCCGUAACUGGUCUGAGAGGAUGAUCAGUCACACUGGAACUGAGACACGGUCCAGACUCCUACGGGAGGCAGCAGUGGGGAAUAUUGGACAAUGGGCGAAAGCCUGAUCCAGCCAUGCCGCGUGUGUGAAGAAGGUCUUCGGAUUGUAAAGCACUUUAAGUUGGGAGGAAGGGCAGUAAAUUAAUACUUUGCUGUUUUGACGUUACCGACAGAAUAAGCACCGGCUAACUCUGUG
RNAcentral lists this ribosomal RNA (482 nucleotides) under uncultured bacterium. RNAcentral's name for it is "partial 16S ribosomal RNA". It matches the Rfam family "Bacterial small subunit ribosomal RNA", at positions 30 to 507 of the family's 1533-position model. The record is from RNAcentral.